UUGCAAAAUAAAAAAUUAAAAGCUAUAAUAUAAAAGUCUUUAUGACUAUGGUAAUAAAAGUUAUACGAAAUAGAUGAUAUGGACCCGAGGGCGGUACUCGGCACCUCCACCAUUUAAAAUAAUAUAAUCAUAAAAGGGGGUGAAUUAGUUUCGACAUACAUUAAAAGGUAUAAUGUUUACUCGGCAAGAUACGACCGCAACAGUUCAAAUCAUAAAUGCAGAAGAUAAUUUUGCAGAGCUCAGAGCAGCUGCUUAGUCU
RNAcentral lists this transfer-messenger RNA (259 nucleotides) under pig gut metagenome. RNAcentral's name for it is "Alphaproteobacteria transfer-messenger RNA". It matches the Rfam family "Alphaproteobacteria transfer-messenger RNA", at positions 27 to 273 of the family's 355-position model. From Rfam's summary of the family: Bacterial tmRNA, also known as 10Sa RNA or SsrA, is named for its dual tRNA and mRNA-like properties. Its role is to liberate the mRNA from a stalled ribosome. The record is from RNAcentral.